RNAcentral lists this ribosomal RNA (765 nucleotides) under uncultured Eubacterium sp. RNAcentral's name for it is "bacterial SSU rRNA". It matches the Rfam family "Bacterial small subunit ribosomal RNA", at positions 732 to 1512 of the family's 1533-position model. The record is from RNAcentral. Lineage: Bacteria; Bacillati; Bacillota; Clostridia; Eubacteriales; Eubacteriaceae.
GACUGUUACUGACACUGAGGCACGAAAGCGUGGGGAGCAAACAGGAUUAGAUACCCUGGUAGUCCACGCCGUAAACGAUGAGCACUAGGUGUCGGGGUCGCAAGACUUCGGUGCCGCAGUUAACGCAUUAAGUGCUCCGCCUGGGGAGUACGCACGCAAGUGUAAAACUCAAAGGAAUUGACGGGGACCCGCACAAGCAGCGGAGCAUGUGGUUUAAUUCGAAGCAACGCGAAGAACCUUACCAGGACUUGACAUCCUCUUGACAGAUCCUUAAUCGGAUUCUUCUUCGGACAAGAGAGACAGGUGGUGCAUGGUUGUCGUCAGCUCGUGUCGUGAGAUGUUGGGUUAAGUCCCGCAACGAGCGCAACCCUUGCCAUUAGUUGCCAUCAUUUAGUUGGGCACUCUAGUGGGACUGCCGGGGAAAACUCGGAGGAAGGUGGGGAUGACGUCAAAUCAUCAUGCCCCUUAUGUUCUGGGCUACACACGUGCUACAAUGGCCGGUACAACAGGCAGCGAACCCGUGAGGGGGAGCGAAUCCCAAAAGCCGGUCCCAGUUCGGACUGUAGGCUGCAACUCGCCUACACGAAGUUGGAGUUGCUAGUAAUCGCGGAUCAGAAUGCCGCGGUGAAUGCGUUCCCGGGUCUUGUACACACCGCCCGUCACACCAUGGAAGUUGGGGGUGCCCGAAGUCGGUUAUUUAAUCUAUCGCCUAAGGCAAAACCAAUGACUGGGGUGAAGUCGUAACAAGGUAGCCGUAUCGGAAGG